This 1034-nucleotide long non-coding RNA is filed under the name Capsella grandiflora. RNAcentral describes it as "long non-coding RNA (CGRA_LNC000127)". Lineage: Eukaryota; Viridiplantae; Streptophyta; Magnoliopsida; Brassicales; Brassicaceae. The record is from RNAcentral.
UAUGAAUGAUGUAUGUAUGCUGAAUGUAUGCAUGAAUGCUUUAUGUAUGCAUGAAUGCUUUAUGUAUGAAUGAUGUAUGUAUGUAUGAAUGCCAAAGAUCUGCUCACUUAUCUGAUUACCGACCUAACCCAUACUUAAGAAGAAAGAAGAAUGUGCCUUAAUUCAUAUAACAAGACAUGAAACUUUGGAAGAGACAAAUAACCAGGAUUGAUUGCUUUUGUGCUAUCAUUUAGGUUCUGAAAAGUAAAAGAGAGUUUUCUAAGUUUUCAUACCAUUUUUCAUAACUAUUAGCAAGUUUCCAAUACUACUGCAUAAUAACAAAAACUAAAAAGUAUGAAAUGAAAACAACUAACCUGCAAAUUACGAGUGACAUUGUCACAGUGGCAAUCCUGUUCAUCCAUUGUCCCUGAGAGUCAGAAAAAAGUACACAUCCAUAAUGAUUUCUACAAGUUUUGUUAUUAAUCAAACAAAAACCCCACAACACAAAACAAAUUGUGAUAAAAUUAUGAUACUAUCGUAAGUAAAGGAUGGAACAUACACAAAAAGUAAAUUAUGAAUGAUGUCGUAGUUGAUCAGAUCGGUAGUUUCCAAAAUCAAAUUGCUUGAGUUUACAGAGCAAAAGGCACAAUACCUCACGGCGGCAACUACCACCGCGGCGCUAUCACCACGGCCUCUCCCGUCGCUUCUUCUUGAUUGAAACCCGUUCUCGUUCUUAAAGGUCACGAAUCAGAGUCCUCUUGAUAAUCCAGUUUCGCGAUUGUUGAUGAUCUAUCAAAACCCAAAUCGUGUAAAUCACAAAUUAGCAAAAAGUAUUGUAAAAUGUAACAUAAUCGAUCGAUCACUCACAAAAAGUAAAUUAUGAUGAUAUCGUAGUUGAUCGGAUCGGUAAUUUCCAAAAUCAAAUUGCUUGAGUUUACAGAGCAAAAAAGACAAUACCUCACAGCGACAACUACCACCGCCAUCAGAUCUCUCACGACGGCUAUCUUCUCGGCCUCUCCCGUCGCUUCUUCUUCUUCUUCUUCUUCUUAAAAGUC